This 761-nucleotide ribosomal RNA is filed under the name uncultured Streptococcus sp. RNAcentral's name for it is "bacterial SSU rRNA". It matches the Rfam family "Bacterial small subunit ribosomal RNA", at positions 28 to 776 of the family's 1533-position model. Lineage: Bacteria; Bacillati; Bacillota; Bacilli; Lactobacillales; Streptococcaceae. The record is from RNAcentral.
GACGAACGCGGCGGCGUGCUAAUACAUGCAAGUAGAACGCUGAAGGAGGAGCUUGCUUCUCUGGAUGAGUUGCGAACGGGUGAGUAACGCGUAGGUAACCUGCCUGGUAGCGGGGGAUAACUAUUGGAAACGAUAGCUAAUACCGCAUAAGAGUAGAUGUUGCAUGACAUUUGCUUAAAAGGUGCAAUUGCAUCACUACCAGAUGGACCUGCGUUGUAUUAGCUAGUUGGUGAGGUAACGGCUCACCAAGGCGACGAUACAUAGCCGACCUGAGAGGGUGAUCGGCCACACUGGGACUGAGACACGGCCCAGACUCCUACGGGAGGCAGCAGUGGGGAAUCUUCGGCAAUGGACGGAAGUCUGACCGAGCAACGCCGCGUGAGUGAAGAAGGUUUUCGGAUCGUAAAGCUCUGUUGUAAGAGAAGAACGAGUGUGAGAGUGGAAAGUUCACACUGUGACGGUAUCUUACCAGAAAGGGACGGCUAACUACGUGCCAGCAGCCGCGGUAAUACGUAGGUCCCGAGCGUUGUCCGGAUUUAUUGGGCGUAAAGCGAGCGCAGGCGGUUAGAUAAGUCUGAAGUUAAAGGCUGUGGCUUAACCAUAGUACGCUUUGGAAACUGUUUAACUUGAGUGCAAGAGGGGAGAGUGGAAUUCCAUGUGUAGCGGUGAAAUGCGUAGAUAUAUGGAGGAACACCGGUGGCGAAAGCGGCUCUCUGGCUUGUAACUGACGCUGAGGCUCGAAAGCGUGGGGAGCAAACAGG